CGCUUGGGUGAGCUCUGGGUUGGAAAACAUUCAAUGUAAUGACACCGUACUUGCACUUCUGCCAUUGUUAUUUAUAUCUGGUUAUACUGGAACCCAAGGAGAUGUUCACAGGAAAGCUGGAAAGCAAGCUAUGCAUCAUCAGCAUUGGGAGCAAGAGCCACAAACGUCAUUUUCAAGUUGGGAAGAAACUUAGAACCCGAGAAGCUACAGGAAUCAGCCCAGUCACAGAGCUUGGCUGCCAUCCACAUAAGAUGUAACUUGCUCCUCCCUGCCUUCCCAGCC
Molecule: long non-coding RNA, 282 nt
Organism: Symphalangus syndactylus (siamang)
Lineage: Eukaryota; Metazoa; Chordata; Mammalia; Primates; Hylobatidae
Source: RefSeq, a predicted model, not a curated record